Long non-coding RNA from Capsella rubella, 2304 nucleotides. RefSeq lists it as uncharacterized. The transcript has 8 exons. The record is from RefSeq and is a predicted model, not a curated record. NCBI's taxonomy places the organism in Eukaryota, Viridiplantae, Streptophyta, Magnoliopsida, Brassicales, Brassicaceae.
UUUUUUUUCCCCUUUCAACUUUUCAUAAUCUGAUCGUCGUCUUAUUCUCUUCUGCUCGAAACAAGCCUAGCUUAGAUCCUUUAUUGCUUGAUCCUCUUUUGCUUAGAUCCCCUUUUGCUCUUUCGCUGAUAUCCUAUUACGCUGCCAUCGACUUUGCUCUUUUUCUCUAACUCUCUCUCUCUCUCUCUCUCUCUCUCUCUCUCUCUAUCUCUCUCUCUCUCUCUCUCUCUCUCUCCUGAAAUUUCCCAGCUCGAGCUCCCCUCUGUAAAUAAAAACAGAAAGGACUUGUUAAAUCCAAGGUAAUAAUUGUCUAAUUUGUAUGGGUUAUUGUAUUGUUUUAUGUAUGGGUUAUUAUAUAUAUUGACUUGAGUCUCGAUUUGUUCAAGUUUUUGAGUAUGAGUUUAAUAGAUUUAUUAUUUUCAUCUUUUCUUAUUCGGAAUCAUCAAAUAAGCAGACACUAAAUCUUAUCGGGUAUCUUAGCUAAUGAGAUUUCAUUCUCGAAUCAGAUUAAUGUGGCUGACCAUUUCAUUUGGUUCAAUGUGACUGUUUGUUUAAUUAUUUGUAUGCCAAUUUGGUCGGAGCUGUUGUGUUAUUGUUGUUAACAUCGAUAAGGCUUGGGUUUGGUUACCAAGGGUUAGCCUUUAAUAUGAGCAAGGAGCCACUAAAUUUGUGUAUGACUAAAAAAGACUAUUGGGUAAUGUUGGGCAUAUAUUAUGUCUUUCUUUUUCCUUUUUUGUUCAAAAACUUGUCAAAGAGAAAAUAAUGAUGUCUCUAAGUCUGAAGUAAGUAAUGUUAGCAAAGGGGGAGUUAGGUGUCAGCUACUGGACUGGUGUUCUUCUGAUGAUGUUUUUGUCGGUGAAGGAGAAUUUUGCUCUACUGAUCAGAUGUACAAGAUUGGUCGUAUUCCAAUUGUACCAAACGUUGUAGCUGUUAAAAUGAAGUCUAUAACAAAACCAGAAGCACAUCUAUGGAGGCCCACCAAACCAUUGAAAAACUUGGGACAAUGUGGGAGUGAAGAUUCCAUGGCCAGCUAAGAAAGUGAUAAUUGACAAUGCUACCUACACCCCUGGAACAGAAACUGAUGGAUCAUCGGUAAUAUUUUUUCUUAUUAUAUACCUCUACACAUUAAUUUGUUAUAGAUUGAUUAAUAUUUUAUUUUUUUGCAUAACUACUGGUUAAUAUAAUAUUAUAUUGUGUUCAAGCUGGAAGAGUUUACAUUUUCAAUUAUUGGAAUUUAAAUGAUGAGAUAAUUGGUGAGGGCAUAUUGUGUUCAACUGAUCCAAAAUAUUUUUUCAACAAUAUACCUCUGGGUCCGAAUGCCUGCAUUGUGAAGGUUUACCAGGUCGAUGAAAGUGAUGCUUUCUUGUGGAGACCAACUCUUGAAAUUUCAAAUUUAGGUUAUGCACUUAUUGAGAACAUCGCAUGGCCUAUUAACUGGAAAAAAUUAUUUAAUCCUGAUACACCUACUGAGGAUACAACAAGGAAAUCACCGACGAGUGCAAGUAACAGUACAAGUAGUAGCAACACUACAAAACACUAGUGCAUCUUAUUAGACUGCAAUGACUAUGGAGAAAGAGUUGCACAAGGCCGAGUAUCUUCUACUAAUCCAACAGAAGUUUCUCUCCUUCGAUGUCUCUAGUCAGUUGACGCUUUGUUUAUCCUCCGAAGCAGCAUUAACAACAGGAGCCACCAUAAGCAGCGACCCAAAAGAGUUAGAACCCAGAACCGACUUGUUGGAGAACCCAGAACCGGUUUGUUGAUGGUUGCUAAAGGAUUCCAACAUAUUUACAAAUUCCCUUAGCCUUUGAAAGUUGAAUCUUUCUCGCUAAUCUCCCAAAGUGUUGCAUUACGUGAAGGAAUCAUACCAAAGAUCCACCAACAGCCACCAGAAGAAGCACAUGAUGAUCAAGGAAGUGAUGUGGUGGAGCUCACACCAGUAGAAUACGGAAGAAAUAUAGGAUACUUCAUAUGGGUUGAGGAAGACGAACAAGACACCGAACCUGAGUUCCGAAGACUUAUCCAAAAUCUCAAAAACGAAGAACAAAGGCUUAGACACCAAAAAUUCUCCGCUGCAAUGAAACGACCAAAACAAGUACAAGGUUGACUCCUCAAGAAGCAAGUCGCAUCGUCGAAACUAAGAGGCAGAAGCUGAAGGUGUUAAUUAAUCUACAUAUGAACUUUGGUUAAAUUAUUUAUUUGUAUGGUUUACUUUCAACUUUGUAUUUUGGAUUUGAACAAUGGUUUGUAAACUUCAAGUGAGGGUCUUUCAUUUAUAAUAAUAUGAACAAUGAAUAAUAUUUAAUU